GAUGAACGCUGGCGGCGUGCCUAAUACAUGCAAGUCGAGCGAACAGACGAGGAGCUUGCUCCUCUGACGUUAGCGGCGGACGGGUGAGUAACACGUGGAUAACCUACCUAUAAGACUGGGAUAACUUCGGGAAACCGGAGCUAAUACCGGAUAAUAUAUUGAACCGCAUGGUUCAAUAGUGAAAGACGGUUUUGCUGUCACUUAUAGAUGGAUCCGCGCCGCAUUAGCUAGUUGGUAAGGUAACGGCUUACCAAGGCAACGAUGCGUAGCCGACCUGAGAGAGUGGUCGGCCACACUGGAACUGAGACACGGUCCAGACUCCUACGGGAGGCAGCAGUAGGGAAUCUUCCGCAAUGGGCGAAAGCCUGACGGAGCAACGCCGCGUGAGUGAUGAAGGUCUUCGGAUCGUAAAACUCUGUUAUUAGGGAAGAACAAAUGUGUAAGUAACUAUGCACGUCUUGACGGUACCUAAUCAGAAAGCCACGGCUAACUACGUG
This 497-nucleotide ribosomal RNA is filed under the name uncultured bacterium. Its description in RNAcentral is "partial 16S ribosomal RNA". It matches the Rfam family "Bacterial small subunit ribosomal RNA", at positions 28 to 507 of the family's 1533-position model. The record is from RNAcentral.